RNAcentral lists this ribosomal RNA (253 nucleotides) under uncultured bacterium. RNAcentral's name for it is "partial 16S ribosomal RNA". It matches the Rfam family "Bacterial small subunit ribosomal RNA", at positions 524 to 776 of the family's 1533-position model. The record is from RNAcentral.
UACGUAGGGGGCAAGCGUUGUCCGGAUUUAUUGGGCGUAAAGAGCGUGUAGGCGGCUAGAUAGGUCCGUUGUGAAAACUCGAGGCUCAACCUCGAGACGUCGAUGGAAACCAUCUGGCUAGAGUCCGGAAGAGGAGAGUGGAAUUCCUGGUAUAGCGGUGAAAUGCGCAGAUAUCAGGAAGAACACCAAUGGCGAAAGCAGCUCUCUGGGACGGUACUGACGCUGAGACGCGAAAGCGUGGGGAGCGAACAGG